This 573-nucleotide ribosomal RNA is filed under the name Triticum aestivum (bread wheat). Its description in RNAcentral is "partial small subunit ribosomal RNA". Lineage: Eukaryota; Viridiplantae; Streptophyta; Magnoliopsida; Poales; Poaceae. The record is from RNAcentral.
AUGGAAGCUAGUCAGAGCAUUGUCAUCAUGCAUUAUAAAACGAUCCUCCAAUUUGAGGACGACAUGAGCAUAUCAUAUACUCCGACCGGACAGUUCCUCAACGAAAGGCGCCUAGCCUGGCCACCCACUCCCACAGUGUCAAGAGCGGCCCUUUUUGGCUGUCCACAAGGCGAUUUGCCCCCUGGAGCGUCAUCGGAAUCCGCUGCAACUUGGGCGUGGCUACCGCUGCAGCAUGUGCCCGUGGAGGUAGAGGCAGCUCCUCGCUUCCUACAAGGGGCAUCCCCAUCUCUCUGCCCAAUGUCUCAUCAGAUCACGGAUCCAUCCAUUUCAUCCAGUACUAGCAGUGCAAGAACCAAGAAGAGAGAGCCUUCCUGCUCACCUAGCUCAAUCAGCCUCCUCCUGUUGUUCAGGAGCAACCGAGAAAGCAAGCUCGAGAUGGAGCACAAGGUGAAGAGCCAUGGCAGCAAGCACAAGGGGUCAGGAGGAUCAGGAGGGCUGAGCAGGAUGCUGAGGGAGCACAAGGCCAGGCUCUACAUCAUCCGCCGAUGCGUCGUCAUGCUCCUCUGCUCUUGA